This 250-nucleotide long non-coding RNA is filed under the name Ananas comosus (pineapple). RNAcentral describes it as "long non-coding RNA (ACOM_LNC023560)". The record is from RNAcentral. Lineage: Eukaryota; Viridiplantae; Streptophyta; Magnoliopsida; Poales; Bromeliaceae.
UCUGCCCCCACGGGCAUCACUCCGUUGUAAGCUAAAUAUCCAUCCCUGUACUUCCCAUCAGUCAAUUAAUAGAAAGUCAUUUCGGCUCUUCAAGCCGGCCAAAUCUCGUGUUGCUUUAGCCAUUCGGCUCUUCUUCCGGCUUAAUUUCCAGCCUACUCUGUACAUUCGUCUCAUUCCAACCGAACCGAAACAGAUAGUAGCGGUUUUCGAAUCCGGCUGACUCGAUCCCUCGUCAGCCGAAUCGCUUGAU